RNAcentral lists this ribosomal RNA (501 nucleotides) under uncultured bacterium. RNAcentral's name for it is "partial 16S ribosomal RNA". It matches the Rfam family "Bacterial small subunit ribosomal RNA", at positions 30 to 523 of the family's 1533-position model. The record is from RNAcentral.
AUUGAACGCUGGCGGCAGGCUUAACACAUGCAAGUCGAGCGGAGAUGAGGUGCUUGCACCUUAUCUUAGCGGCGGACGGGUGAGUAAUGCUUAGGAAUCUGCCUAUUAGUGGGGGACAACAUUCCGAAAGGAAUGCUAAUACCGCAUACGUCCUACGGGAGAAAGCAGGGGAUCUUCGGACCUUGCGCUAAUAGAUGAGCCUAAGUCGGAUUAGCUAGGUGGUGGGGGAAAGGCCUAACAAGGCUACGAUCUGUAGCGGGUCUGAGAGGAUGAUCCGCCACACUGGGACUUAGACACGGCCCAGACUCCUACGGGAGGCAGCAGUGGGGAAUAUUGGACAAUGGGGGGAACCCUGAUCCAGCCAUGCCGCGUGUGUGAAGAAGGCCUUAUGGUUGUAAAGCACUUUAAGCGAGGAGGAGGCUACUGAGACUAAUACUCUUGGAUAGUGGACGUUACUCGCAGAAUAAGCACCGGCUAACUCUGUGCCAGCCGCCGCGGUAA